RNAcentral lists this ribosomal RNA (220 nucleotides) under uncultured bacterium. Its description in RNAcentral is "partial 16S ribosomal RNA". It matches the Rfam family "Bacterial small subunit ribosomal RNA", at positions 15 to 219 of the family's 1533-position model. The record is from RNAcentral.
GAUCCUGGCUCAGGAUGAACGCUGGCGGCGUGCCUAACACAUGCAAGUCGAGCGAAGCGAUUGGAAUGAGACUUCGGUGGAAUUUUGAUUGACUGAGCGGCGGACGGGUGAGUAACGCGUGGAAAACCUGCCUCAUACAGGGGGAUAACAGUUAGAAAUGACUGCUAAUACCGCAUAAGCGCACAGCACCGUAUGGUGCAGUGUGAAAAACUCCGGUGGU